UAACUUACUUGGCGUGGAGGAGUGCCGCGAUCAAGAAGGCGGCUCCUUCUGGGCGAGACCGGGCCAUUGCACUUGGCGGUCCGGUUGAGCCUUGCGGCUACCCCUAAAGCGGGCAGCCGAGCGCAUAAUUUUUGGUAGUCGGGAUGUGCGUUCGCGCUAUUCCCGG
Trichogramma pretiosum is the source of this 166-nucleotide small nuclear RNA. RefSeq annotates it as U1 spliceosomal RNA. The record is from RefSeq and is a predicted model, not a curated record. NCBI's taxonomy places the organism in Eukaryota, Metazoa, Arthropoda, Insecta, Hymenoptera, Trichogrammatidae. The transcript has a single exon.